CCGCAUAGCUAUUACAACAGCCACCGUUUACUUGAAUAUAGUUAUCCUACUUGGAUAACUGUGGCAAUUCUAGAGCUAAUACAUGCAAAAAAGCUGCGCCCGCAAGGAACGAGCGCAUUUAUUAGAAUAAAAACCAAUCGGGUUUCGGCCCGUAAUUUGGUGAAUCUGAAUAACUUUGCCAAUCGCACAGUCCUAGUACUGGCGAUGUAUCUUUCAAGUGUCUGCCUUAUCAACUUUCGAUGGUAGGUUAUACGCCUACCAUGGUAGUAACGGGUAACGGAGAAUAAGGGUUCGACUCCGGAGAGGGAGCCUGAGAAACGGCUACCACAUCCAAGGAAGGCAGCAGGCGCGCAAAUUACCCACUUCCAGAACGGAGAGGUAGUGACGAAAAAUAACGAGACAGUCCUCUUCGAGGUCUGUCAUCGGAAUGGGUACAAUUUAAA
This 443-nucleotide ribosomal RNA is filed under the name unidentified nematode Sourhope farm. RNAcentral describes it as "SSU rRNA". It matches the Rfam family "Eukaryotic small subunit ribosomal RNA", at positions 89 to 529 of the family's 1831-position model. Lineage: Eukaryota; Metazoa; Nematoda. The record is from RNAcentral.